Molecule: small nuclear RNA, 191 nt
Organism: Chlorocebus sabaeus (green monkey)
Lineage: Eukaryota; Metazoa; Chordata; Mammalia; Primates; Cercopithecidae
Product: U2 spliceosomal RNA
Source: RefSeq, a predicted model, not a curated record
AUCGCUUCUCGGCCUUUUGGCUAGAAUCAAGUGUGAUAUCUGUUCUUAUCAGUUUAAUAUCUGAUACGUCCUCUAUCAAAGGGACAAUAUAUUAAAUGGAUUUUGGGCAAGGGAGAUGGAAUAGGAGCUUGCUCCGUCCACUCCACGCAUCGACCUGGUAUUGCAGUACUUCCAGGAACGGUGCACCCCCU